UACAGAGGGUGCAAGCGUUAAUCGGAGUUACUGGGCGUAAAGGGCACGUAGGCGGUUGUAUAAGUCAGUUGUGAAAUCCCCGGGCUUAACCUGGGAACUGCAGCUGAUACUGUAUGACUGGAGUCGAAGAGAGGGAAGCGGAAUUUCCGGUGUAGCGGUGAAAUGCGUAGAUAUCGGAAGGAACAUCUGUGGCGAAGGCGGCUUCCUGGCUUCAGACUGACGCUGAGGUGCGAAAGCGUGGGUAGCGAACAGG
RNAcentral lists this ribosomal RNA (253 nucleotides) under uncultured bacterium. Its description in RNAcentral is "partial 16S ribosomal RNA". It matches the Rfam family "Bacterial small subunit ribosomal RNA", at positions 524 to 776 of the family's 1533-position model. RNAcentral also lists the same sequence under 1 other name. The record is from RNAcentral.